GCCAGCAGCCAUAUCAACCUGCAACUCACAACUGGCAGCCCACUGAAACUAAGCAGGUGUGAGCCUGGUCAGUACCUGUAUGGAAGACCUCAUGGGAAAGCUAAGGUUGCUGCUGGAA
RNAcentral lists this ribosomal RNA (118 nucleotides) under Lepisosteus oculatus (spotted gar). Lineage: Eukaryota; Metazoa; Chordata; Actinopteri; Semionotiformes; Lepisosteidae. The record is from RNAcentral.